UGCUCCUACGGGAGGCAGCAGUGAGGAAUAUUGGUCAAUGGUCGGGAGAAUGAACCAGCCAAGCCGCGUGAGGGAUGAAGGUACAGAGUAUCGUAAACCUCUUUUGUCAGGGAACAAAGGCGGGGACGUGUCCCCGGAUGAGUGUACCUGAAGAAAAAGCAUCGGCUAACUCCGUGCCAGCAGCCGCGGUAAUACGGAGGAUGCGAGCGUUAUCCGGAUUGAUUGGGUUUAAAGGGUGCGCAGGCGGUCUGGUAAGUCAGCGGGCAAAGCCCGGGGCUCAACCCCGGCCGGCCGUUGAAAAUGGG
Molecule: ribosomal RNA, 305 nt
Filed under: uncultured bacterium
Lineage: Bacteria
Description: bacterial SSU rRNA
Rfam family: Bacterial small subunit ribosomal RNA
Source: RNAcentral